AUUGAACGCUGGCGGCAGGCCUAACACAUGCAAGUCGAGCGGAUGAAUGGAGCUUACUCCUGGAUUCAGCGGCGGACGGGUGAGUAAUGCCUAGGAAUCUGCCUUGUAGUGGGGGAUAACGUCCGGAAACGGGCGCUAAUACCGCAUACGUCCUGAGGGAGAAAGUGGGGGAUCUUCGGACCUCACGCUAUCAUAUUAGCCUAGGUCCGAUUAGCUAGUUGGUGGGGUAAAGGCUUACAAAGGCGACGAUCCGUAACUGGUAUGAGAGGAUGAUCAGUCACACUGGCACUGAGACACGGCACAGACUCCGACGGGAGGAAGCAGUGGGGAAUAUUGGACAAUGGGCGAAAGCCUGAUCCAGCAAUGCCGGGUGUGUGAAGAAGGUCUUAGGAUUGUAAAGCACUUUAAGUUGGGAGGAAGGGAAGUACGUUAAUACCUUGUUGUUUUGACGGUACCAACAGAAUAAGCACCGGCUAACUUCGUG
RNAcentral lists this ribosomal RNA (484 nucleotides) under uncultured bacterium. Its description in RNAcentral is "partial 16S ribosomal RNA". It matches the Rfam family "Bacterial small subunit ribosomal RNA", at positions 30 to 507 of the family's 1533-position model. The record is from RNAcentral.